RNAcentral lists this ribosomal RNA (305 nucleotides) under uncultured bacterium. RNAcentral's name for it is "bacterial SSU rRNA". It matches the Rfam family "Bacterial small subunit ribosomal RNA", at positions 335 to 658 of the family's 1533-position model. The record is from RNAcentral.
UGCCUACGGGGGGCAGCAGUGGGGAAUAUUGCACAAUGGGGGAAACCCUGAUGCAGCGACGCCGCGUGGAGGAAGAAGGUCUUCGGAUUGUAAACUCCUGUCCUUGGGGACGAUAAUGACGGUACCCAAGGAGGAAGCACUGGCUAACUACGUGCCAGCAGCCGCGGUAAAACGUAGGGUGCAAGCGUUGUCCGGAUUUACUGGGCGUGAAGGGGGCGCAGGCGGCGCGCCAAGCCCGAUGUGAAAGCCCGGGGCUCAACCCCGGGACUGCAUUGGGAACUGGCGGGCUGGAGUGCCGGAGGGGG